AGCCUGUUCCAUAUGAAUCAUUCCUGUGCUUCUGAAAACCAUGGCUUAUAGGGAGUUUGUCAGAGAAUAGUUUUGGAGUUUAUCAUUCCUCAAGAAAUUCUUCUCUUGGACAUUUUCAUGGAAAGAGAUUUUUGCUUCCAACAUUUCCAAAAGCAAAUCAAUAUCUACAAAAGCAAUAAAACACCUCAGCAGAAGGACAGCAAGAGCAAUUCAAGAGCAGUUUGGCCCUGCCAGAAGAGCCUUGGGCAGCAGGAAUCUUGGGCAGCACCUCAUGCUGGCAAAGGAAAGGCUUGGAAGUCAAGGGCUCAAGUGCACAGUCCUUCACACAGCUGGCCCCUGGAUCACCAGAAUAACCUAGAGUGUAUUUCACCUUCUAGAAUAAAUUUCCCAAUUGUCCCCAGCAGUGCUGUACAACAACUGCUCCCAGGUAUUUUUAUUGAGAGAAAAUUAUGACAUUUCAAAAUGGUAAAGUCUCCCAGGAAUGGAAACAGUGAUCAACAGGAAGUGUAAGAUCCAGAAUCACAGAAGUAAAAUGGGAAUUGAAGUCAACUCAAAAGAAAUGAAAAAAACCCCAACCAGUGAGCUUUUCAGCCAUCAAAAUUAGAUGACAGUAAGGAAAGUAACAGUGAGGUUGGCUUGAGGGAGGAUGGGUUUAAGGUUGGCAUAGUUGCUUUCUAAAACUGAGAUGGUUUUGUGGGUCUGUGUUCAAUUUGGACAAAGGCUCUGAGCUUGGAUGGGAGAAAACUGCUUUAUGGGAGUGAGUUUGGAAGGGUGAAAAUGAUGCCUUUGAGAUAGAAGUAAAAUUCAAGGAGUGGUUCCAAGCAUCUGUGUCCCAGCUGUCUGAAGGAACUGGCAUUCAAAACUGCACUUCUGCUUAAAGGGUAUUUAGAACUGUGUUAAAGUAGGAGUGGCAAGAGAAAUUUCAAAUAUGAUUCCUGUAUUCCAAAUCAGAAAAAAAACUGUGUUCUAGUUAAAUGUGGUUGUAUUAACAUGCCAUCAGUAGUACACAAAGCAUUAGAGUGCUUUUGGAAAGCAGAGGAAUAGAGAGCAUAGCAAAUGGCAGAAGCAGGAUAACACACAGAAUAGGUUUACUGAAAGCAGAUUUACGAGAUUAACUUGAUAAUCUUUAGAUUAUCCAGAUCUUUUUAGACAAAGGAAACGGCAAUAGAUGUGAUGUGUAUACACUGUGAGAGAAACAUCUGACACAGAGCUACAUGGAGAAUUGUUUGAUUGGGAAUGAUGAAGAUUAGGCCCAGGAUUGUAAAAUAAAUAGAAACUGGCUAAAGGAGAUAAUAACAGAUAAUGCUGAAAGAGGAAAUUCCAGGCUGGAGAGAGCUAAAAGUGGAGUUUCUGAAGGCACAGUUUGGGGACCAAUAUCGCUUAAUAUUUUCAUUAAUCAACUAGGCACAAAAUGAACCUGCUGGAGGAACGUGCUGAUGGCUGGAGGUGGGAGGGUUUGUCCAUAGCAAGGAGGCAGACAGCAUACAGAAAAAGAGAAUAUCCUCAGGGGCCAGGAAGAUAUAAAUGGGAUUACACUGAACAGUUCAACUGGCAAGGUCAGGUAGUUGGGAACUAAUGACAGUUUCUAAUAUAAGGUAAGGCUUGUUGGUUGGACAGAUACAGAAGAAUGGGGCAUAUAUUUGGCAUUAUAUCAAAAGAAGCCUUUCCAGUCAAGAUGGGAAAAAAUGAAUACCCUUUAGAAGGCCAUAGUAAGACUUUUUCAGGAAUGUAGUGACCAGUUGUGACCACCUGUGUCUGAAAGAAAGAAAUUCAACCUCGAGCAGGAGCAGAGAAUGGUAAAUAGUUCAGUGGGAGAAGAGGGAUUGUGCCUUGGCAGAUUAAAGCCUGCAGAGAAUAAAUCAUAAACAUGAUAGGAAUGAGGGGGAUUGUUUUAAGAUUAGACAAUAUUGAUACAUAAAUAACUGUAAGCUGGUCAUCAGUAAGUGACCUUAUAUUUUAGCAGAAGGUUUCUAAAGAAAGAUGGGAGUUUCUGGAAAAGCCUUCCACAGCAGCAGUGGGGACAACCCCUGUCAGUGUUUCAGUGAGG
This is a long non-coding RNA of Passer domesticus (house sparrow), 2047 nucleotides long. RefSeq lists it as uncharacterized. Lineage: Eukaryota; Metazoa; Chordata; Aves; Passeriformes; Passeridae. The transcript has 3 exons. The record is from RefSeq and is a predicted model, not a curated record.